This 576-nucleotide ribosomal RNA is filed under the name uncultured bacterium. RNAcentral's name for it is "partial 16S ribosomal RNA". It matches the Rfam family "Bacterial small subunit ribosomal RNA", at positions 355 to 1375 of the family's 1533-position model. The record is from RNAcentral.
UGGGGAAUAUUGCACAAUGGGCGAAAGCCUGAUGCAGCAACGCCGCGUGAGGGACGACGGCCUUCGGGUUGUAAACCUCUUUAGCUAAGGAAGAAGCGAAAGUGGACGGUACUUGCAGAAAAACGCGACCGGCUAACUACGUGCCAGCAGCCGCGGCUAAUACAGUAGGGCGCAAGCGUUAUCCGGAAUUAUUGGGGCGUAAAGAGCUCGUAGGCGGUUUUGNCGCGUCUGCUGUGAAAACCCGAGGCUCAACCUCGGGCCUGCAGUGGGUACGGGCAGACUAGAGUGCGGUAGGGGAGAUUGGAACUCCUGGUGUAGCGGUGGAAUGCGCAGAUAUCAGGAAGAACACCGAUGGCGAAGGCAGAUCUCUGGGCCGUAACUGACGCUGAGGAGCGAAAGGGUGGGGAGCAAACAGGCUUAGAUACCCUGGUAGUCCACCCCGUAAACGUUGGGAACUAGUUGUGGGGUCCAUUCCACGGAUUCCGUGACGCAGCUAACGCAUUAAGUUCCCCGCCUGGGGGAGUACGGCCGCAAGGCUAAAACUCAAAUGAAUUGACGGGGUCAUAGCUGUUUCCU